Molecule: ribosomal RNA, 253 nt
Filed under: uncultured bacterium
Lineage: Bacteria
Description: partial 16S ribosomal RNA
Rfam family: Bacterial small subunit ribosomal RNA
Source: RNAcentral
UACGUAGGGUGCGAGCGUUGUCCGGAUUUAUUGGGCGUAAAGGGCUCGUAGGCGGCCUGUCGCGUCGGGAGUGAAAGCCCACUGCUUAACGGUGGGUCUGCUUUCGGUACGGGCGGGCUAGAGUAUGGCAGGGGAGACUGGAAUUCCUGGUGUAGCGGUGGAAUGCGCAGAUAUCAGGAGGAACACCGGUGGCGAAGGCGGGUCUCUGGGCAAUUACUGACGCUGAGGAGCGAAAGCGUGGGGAGCGAACAGG